CUACGGGGUGCAGCAGUGGGGAAUUUUGCGCAAUGGGGGGAACCCUGACGCAGCAAUACCGCGUGAGUGAAGAAGGCCUUUGGGUCGUAAAGCUCUUUUCUGAAGGAAGAUAGUGACGGUACUUCAGGAAUAAGCACCGGCUAACUCCGUGCCAGCAGCCGCGGUAAUACGGAGGGUGCGAGCGUUGUUCGGAUUUACUGGGCGUAAAGGGCACGUAGGCGGCCUGGCAAGUUAAGGGUGAAAUCCCGGGGCUUAACUCCGGAACUGCUCUUAAAACUGCCAAGCUAGAGAUAGUCAGAGGCGGGUGGAAUUCCUGGUGUAGAGGUGAAAUUCGUAGAUAUCAGGAGGAACACCGGUGGCGAAGGCGGCCCGCUGGGGCUAUUCUGACGCUAAGGUGCGAAAGCGUGGGGAGCGAACGGGAUUAGAUACCCCCGUAGUC
This 439-nucleotide ribosomal RNA is filed under the name uncultured bacterium. RNAcentral's name for it is "partial 16S ribosomal RNA". It matches the Rfam family "Bacterial small subunit ribosomal RNA", at positions 339 to 795 of the family's 1533-position model. The record is from RNAcentral.